RNAcentral lists this long non-coding RNA (632 nucleotides) under Ananas comosus (pineapple). Its description in RNAcentral is "long non-coding RNA (ACOM_LNC014955)". The record is from RNAcentral. Lineage: Eukaryota; Viridiplantae; Streptophyta; Magnoliopsida; Poales; Bromeliaceae.
UAUAUAUAUAUAUAUAUAGGUAUAUAAUUAUAUAUGUAUAGAGUGAGGCUACUAUGCUAUCGGAAGUACGGAGUCUUCCGUGCUUCCAGCUCGUUUUCGAUGUUGCGACUUUCGAAUCGUCGAUCGGCUCCGUUAAACUUGAUCUAGAGUAUUUGAACUACCUCAAAAAUAAAUUUUAUAAUUUUACGAUAUCAUUUGCCUAGUAAACAAAGGGGCUCAAAAUCAACGGCUGAAAAUAAAAAUCUUACAAAAUAUAAUAAUAUGACAUUAAAAUUUUAAAUCAAAGAUAUUGAUCUUGUUUUAUAUAGUAUAAAGAAUUUUCUAUCAAAAUUUCACGUGAUUUGGAUAUUCUACACCGUUAAACUUGCAAAUGGUUCACUACGGCCAUUGAAAUUUGUUGAUUUUGAGCCAAUUCGAUCACUAGGCAAAUGAUAUCGAAAAAUAAUAAAAUUUAUUUUCGAGGUACUCCAAAUACUCUAGAUCAAGUUUAACGGAGCCGAUCGACGAUUCGAAAGUCGCAACAUCGAAAACGAGUUGGAAGCACGGAAGGCUCCGUGCUUCCGAUAGCAUAGUAGCCUCACUCUCUCUCUCUCUCUCUCUCUCUCUCUCUCUAUAUAUAUAUAUAUAUAUAU